RNAcentral lists this ribosomal RNA (494 nucleotides) under uncultured bacterium. Its description in RNAcentral is "partial 16S ribosomal RNA". It matches the Rfam family "Bacterial small subunit ribosomal RNA", at positions 28 to 507 of the family's 1533-position model. The record is from RNAcentral.
GAUGAACGCUGGCGGCGUGCCUAAUACAUGCAAGUCGAGCGAACGGACGAGAAGCUUGCUUCUCUGAUGUUAGCGGCGGACGGGUGAGUAACACGUGGAUAACCUACCUAUAAGACUGGGAUAGCUUCGGGAAACCGGAGCUAAUACCGGAUGAUAUUUUGAACCGCAUGGUUCAAAAGUGAAAGACGGUCUUGCUGUCACUUAUAGAUGGAUCCGCGCUGCAUUAGCUAGUUGGUAAGGUAACGGCUUACCAAGGCAACGAUGCAUAGCCGACCUGAGAGGAUGAUCGGCCACAGUGGAGCUGAGACACGGUGAAGACUCCUACGGGAGGCAGCAGUAGGGAAUCGUCCGCAAUGGGCAAAAGCCUGACGGAGCAACGCCGCGUGAGUGAUGAAGGUCUUCGGAUCGUAAAACUCUGUUAUGGAAGAACAUAUGUGUAAGUAACUGUGCACAUCUUGACGGUACCUAAUCAGAAAGCCACGGCUAACUACGUG